This 327-nucleotide ribosomal RNA is filed under the name Vibrio parahaemolyticus. Its description in RNAcentral is "bacterial SSU rRNA". It matches the Rfam family "Bacterial small subunit ribosomal RNA", at positions 1207 to 1533 of the family's 1533-position model. Lineage: Bacteria; Pseudomonadati; Pseudomonadota; Gammaproteobacteria; Vibrionales; Vibrionaceae. The record is from RNAcentral.
AGUAGGGCUACACACGUGCUACAAUGGCGCAUACAGAGGGCAGCCAACUUGCGAAAGUGAGCGAAUCCCAAAAAGUGCGUCGUAGUCCGGAUUGGAGUCUGCAACUCGACUCCAUGAAGUCGGAAUCGCUAGUAAUCGUGGAUCAGAAUGCCACGGUGAAUACGUUCCCGGGCCUUGUACACACCGCCCGUCACACCAUGGGAGUGGGCUGCAAAAGAAGUAGGUAGUUUAACCUUCGGGGGGACGCUUACCACUUUGUGGUUCAUGACUGGGGUGAAGUCGUAACAAGGUAGCGCUAGGGGAACCUGGCGCUGGAUCACCUCCUUA